GCUCGGGGCUCGGCUCACGUGCGCAGGGCGGCUGGAGCCGGCGCCGCCCGCUUCCCCGCCCGCCAUGGAGCGGCUGACGUUACCUCCGGGCGGCGCGGCGGCAGUGGACGAGUACUUGGAGUACCGGAGAAUUGUUGGUGAGGAUGAUGGAGGGAAACUUUUUACUCCUGAGGAAUAUGAAGACUACAAAAGAAAAGUCUUACCUAUGCGUUUACAGAACAGAUUGUAUGUGAGUUGGCGAUCACCCACGGGAAUGGAUUGUAAACUUGUGGGUCCAGAGACACUGUGUUUUUGUACACAUAGGUAUAAGCAACAUAAAACCGACUUUGAAACGAUUCCCCCGCAGCGCCCCAUCAGUCUGCCUUGCCAAGUGAGGGGCUGCCCUUGCAGGACUUACCUCUAUGUGCCUCUGAACGGCACACAGCCCAUCCGCUGCCGAUGUAAGCACUUUGCCGAUCAACACAGUGCAGCGCCUGGCUUUGUAUGCAGUGCCUGUUCUAAGUGUUCGGGAUUUCAUAGUUGCUUCACUUGUGCUUGUGGUCAGCCUGCAUAUGCUCAUGACACAGUAGUGGAAACUAAGCAAGAAAGACUGGCGCAGGGAAAACCGGUGGGGCAGGACGUUCCUUAUGCAGCAAUGGGAGGACUGACUGGCUUCAGCUCGCUGGCAGAAGGCUACAUGCGAUUAGAUGACAGUGGAAUUGGUGCACCGUCAGCUGAGUUUUUAGACUCUCCAGGUACAGCCAUGGACCACCCAUUUCUAAAGGCAUUUCAAGCAUCAUCUAGCUCUUCUCCAGAAACACUAACAGGUACAAGUAGUCAAGUUUCUUCCUUAAGGAAACCGGAAGAGGAUGAUAUGGCUUUCUUUGAAAGACGAUACCAGGAGAGGAGUACAUCUUGUGAAAUGCUGGACUGGAUGAAGCAUAAGCUGGAAUCAAGAUUUCCAGGAGAAAUAUCAGUAACCUCAGAUAUGCAGAUGACACCACCUUUAUGGCAGAAAGCAAAGAGGAACUAAAGAGCCUCUUAAUGAAAGUGAAAGAGGAGUGAAAAAGCUGGCUUAAACCUCAACAUUAAAAAAAUGAAAAUUUUUAAUUAAGUAGCAAGUAUCCUUUUUAAUCUGACUUUACAUCAGAAUCUAUUUUGUCCUGACAUGGAAGUUUCUAAGGGCUACUUCUAGGUAAAAAUAAACACACUAAAAUGUACAAAUAAUUCCAAUUAUGGAAAGACAUUAAGCAUAUAUAUCUGGACAGCAUAUUAAAAAGCAGAGACAUCACUUUGCCGCAAAGGAUAGUCUAGUCAAAGCUAUGGUUUUUCCAGUAGUCAUGUAUGGAUGUGAGAGUUGGACUGUAAAGAAGGCUGAGCACUGAAAAAUUGAUGCUUUUGAACUGUGGUGUUGGAGAGUCCCUUGGACUGAAAGGAGAUUAAACCAGUCAAUCCUAAAGGAAAUCAGUCCUGAAUAUUUAUUGGAAGGACUGAUGCUGAAGCUGAAACUCCAAUACUUUGGCCGCCUGAUGCGAAGAACUGACUCACUGGAAAAGAUCCCAAUGCUGGGAAAGAUUGAAGGCAGGGGGAGAAGAGGACGACAGAGGAUGAGAUGGUUGGAUGGCAUCACCGACUUGAUGGACUUGAGUUUGAGCAAGCUCCAGGAGUUGGUGAUGGACAGGAAAGCCUGGCGUGCUGCAGUCCAUGGGGUUGACAAAGACUCAGACAGGACUGAGUGACUGAACUGAACUGAACUGAGAUAUUCAGUGAACCAGUGAAGUUGCUCAGUCGUGUCCAACUCUUUGUGACCCCAUGGACUGUAGCCUACCAGGCUCCUCCGUCCAAAGGAUUUCCCAGGCAAGAGUACUGGAGUGGGUUGCUAUUUCCUUCUCCAGGGGAUCUUCCUGACACAGGGAUCGAACCUGUGUCUCCUGCAUUACAGGCGGUGGCUCAGCAGUAAAGAAUCCAUGGGGUCACAGAGAGUAUAUACCUUAUUGGGCAGCACAGAAAGUUCUUUUGGAAAAUGCUGAUCUAAGAAAAAGAAGUGGUGGUAGAAUCUCAGGGGGAAAGAUGAAAUGGGCAGAGUGAGAAAAGGAGAGACUAUUAUUGCAGCAUCAUCAAGGAUAAACUUUUAAUCAAAUCAGUGUUCUUGGAAAACACACAGUCACAACCGAGCUUUAGUGUUUCCUCAUAAGCUUAUGAGGGGCAGCGUUCUAAAUUCCUUCUUUCCCUC
RNA transcript from Dama dama (fallow deer), 2212 nucleotides. It is a transcript of the gene named family with sequence similarity 221 member A, with no coding region annotated. The record is from RefSeq and is a predicted model, not a curated record. NCBI's taxonomy places the organism in Eukaryota, Metazoa, Chordata, Mammalia, Artiodactyla, Cervidae. The transcript is spliced from 8 exons.